Molecule: ribosomal RNA, 276 nt
Filed under: Triticum aestivum (bread wheat)
Lineage: Eukaryota; Viridiplantae; Streptophyta; Magnoliopsida; Poales; Poaceae
Description: partial small subunit ribosomal RNA
Source: RNAcentral
GUGGGAUGUAAUCGCCUUAUUAUUAACUCGGAUAACUUCGAGAUGAUUGAAACUAUGCAAGAUGGAGGACAGUUGGCGGGUGCAAUUUUCGACGAUUGUUUUCAUUACCCCUGUGAUUUCGUUACUACUUGAUUUGAACAUUUUAAUAGAGAAGCAAAUAAAGUAGCUCAUGAGCUUGCUAGAUUAGCUAGAUUUUUUUUUACUUCUGUUUUGUUUGAGGAACCCUUAAAUAAAAUUGAAGUGAUUCUCACAAACGAUGUACUUUUUAUCUCGUGA